This 750-nucleotide long non-coding RNA is filed under the name Gopherus agassizii (Agassiz's desert tortoise). RNAcentral describes it as "lncRNA (ENSGAGG00000018436.1)". The record is from RNAcentral. Lineage: Eukaryota; Metazoa; Chordata; Testudines; Testudinidae.
CUCCUGUUUCCCUGCAGCGCAGCCCCCGGAGGCGGGAGGGGGGCAUCCCCUAGGGACACUGCUCUCUGUGGCUUCCCCUCCACACCUCGCGGGGGGGGGGGUGUAGCGGGAGGCCGUUAGACGGCGGGGCAGGGCUGGCCCCGCUUAUGUAAUAACAGGCAACCCCAGGGAGAGGCGCAGAGCCUCACCGAGGAGAACACGGACGAGAGCCCUGCCCUCCGUGAGCCCCCCAGGGCUGCCCAGGAUGGAGGUGCCCUGAGAAGGCCCCCCCCAGCUUGCAGUACGGACCACGCUCGGCUGCCCCAGCACCUCGGGGUCCUCCGGGAAGGAGCCACCGUGAGGGAGACGGGGAAAAGAGUGAGAGCCCCACACGCCCCCCGGCUGGGGAUCCCAGGCAGGAGCAGAGCAGGCCUCCUCCCAGCUUCAUGAAUGUCUGAUUUUGCCAGCUGCGGGCUGCAAAUUCAUAGAACCGGCUCAGAGAAUUUCCCUACCACGGCCGGUUUUGGGGUGGCCCUUCUGGAGCAGACGCUGGGCAGGGCCUGGGCCGGCAAGAUGCCCCCUUGCCCUCCCCAGCAGGGCCGGACCCGGACAUCACUCCUGCCCGCACCACCGCUGAGUGAGCCUGGCCAGCAGGGAGAGAUGGAGCUGACCUGGCAGGAGAUCAUGUCCAUCGCGGAGCUGCAGGUGAGCCCCGAAUGGAGCCUCUGCUUCCCUCCCCCAGCCAGGCCGCCUUUGGAUCCCAGGCUCCUU